AUUGAACGCUGGCGGCAUGCCUUACACAUGCAAGUCGAACGGCAGCGGACCUUCGGGUGCCGGCGAGUGGCGAACGGGUGAGUAAUGCAUCGGAACGUGCCAUUGAGUGGGGGAUAACGUAGCGAAAGUUGCGCUAAUACCGCAUAUUCUGUGAGCAGGAAAGCAGGGGACCGCAAGGCCUUGCGCUCUUUGAGCGGCCGAUGUCAGAUUAGCUAGUUGGUGAGGUAACGGCUUACCAAGGCGACGAUCUGUAGCGGGUCUGAGAGGAUGAUCCGCCACACUGGAACUGAGACACGGUCCAGACUCCUACGGGAGGCAGCAGUGGGGAAUUUUGGACAAUGGGGGCAACCCUGAUCCAGCCAUGCCGCGUGAGUGAAGAAGGCCUUCGGG
Molecule: ribosomal RNA, 390 nt
Filed under: uncultured bacterium
Lineage: Bacteria
Description: bacterial SSU rRNA
Rfam family: Bacterial small subunit ribosomal RNA
Source: RNAcentral